Molecule: long non-coding RNA, 477 nt
Organism: Mauremys reevesii (Reeves's turtle)
Lineage: Eukaryota; Metazoa; Chordata; Testudines; Geoemydidae
Exons: 4
Source: RefSeq, a predicted model, not a curated record
CCCGGCGCAGCUGGUCCUGUCAUUACCGUUUGACGGGAGGGUGACAGGUGCCCCCGGUCGCCGCCCAGCGGGAGUUUUGCUUAACUUGUAGAGGUGAUCCUUGCUCCAGCCCCUCCAGCUGAUAGAUUUGUUUAGAAGGGGUGGAUGCUGGCUGCAGCAAUCAGUGUCUUUUCUUCAAGAUGCCCCCACGGCUUGCCUUGCUAGUGGAGCAGGGAUUCUCUAUUUGAAAGCUGAAGAAACACGCUGAGGCUUUGUCUACACUGAGAAAAUUUCAUGGUAUCUGCAGAUUCAGGAAGACAGCACUGCAUCAAUUGUAUUCCAUUCACAUUUGGAAUUCUUCACAACGAUGAGGACUAGAAACUCACUUUUUAAAAUACACCACCACCACUCAGUGACUGAAGUGCUGAUCAAAGGAGAGAGCCUGACUGAAAAGUAAGCAGAUGCUUCUCACCCCAGGCUGACUAAGUUUGUAAGGAC